Molecule: RNA transcript, 817 nt
Organism: Cervus elaphus (red deer)
Lineage: Eukaryota; Metazoa; Chordata; Mammalia; Artiodactyla; Cervidae
Gene name: 40S ribosomal protein S18-like
Exons: 3
Source: RefSeq, a predicted model, not a curated record
AUGGCGAUGUACCCUGCGUCUCCCGACCUCCUGGGUCAGAGCCCUUUAUGGAGUGUCUUCUCCUUCUGGGAGCCCACCCCUGUGUGCCCAGCUGAUAUGAUAUCAGGGUUGAUGUCAGGGACUGACAUCAUGGGCACCACACACCACCCCCACUCCCCUACGCCCAGGAUCGUGGUGAGGUUUCAGUCUAGAAGACAGCCCUGGCACCUCCCGCCUGAUAGCUCUAAACUGUGGAAAACUGGAGCAGCACUAAUUAAAGUUGAGAAAGUGGAACAUGAGGCUUCCACUGGAGGCCUACAUGCUGCCGCUGGGGCCGCCACCCUGUCUCUAGUAAUCCCUGAGAAGUUCCAGCACAUCUGGCGAGUACUCAACACCAACAUCGAUGGGCGGCGGAAAAUUGCCUUUGCCUUCACUGCAAUUAAGGGUAUGGGGCGAAGAUAUGCUCAUGUGGUGUUAAGGAAAGCAGACAUCGACCUCGUCAAGAGGGCAGGAGAGCUCACCGAGGAUGAGGUAGAACGUGUGAUCACCAUUAUGCAGAAUCCACGCCAGACAAGAUCCCAGACUGGUUCUUAAAUAGACAGAAGGACGUGAAGGACGGAAAAUACAGCCAGGUCCUGGCCAACGGUCUAGACAACAAACUCCGUGAAGACCUGGAACGACUGAAGAAGAUUCGGGCCCACAGAGGGCUGCGCCACUUCCGGGGACUUCGCAUCCGAGGCCAGCACACCAAGACCACAGGCCGCCGUGGUUGCACUGUGGGUGUGUCCAAGAAGAAAUAAUGUGUGGGCGUUGUGUUAAUAAAUAGUUUAUGCAGUUA